This 229-nucleotide ribosomal RNA is filed under the name uncultured bacterium. RNAcentral describes it as "partial 16S ribosomal RNA". It matches the Rfam family "Bacterial small subunit ribosomal RNA", at positions 568 to 796 of the family's 1533-position model. The record is from RNAcentral.
CACGCAGGCGGCAUCGUAAGUCCGUUGUGAAAUACCUCGGCUCAACCGAGGAACUGCAGCGGAUACUACGAAGCUAGAGGACGGUAGGGGAGAGUGGAACUCUUGGUGGAGCGGUGAAAUGCGUAGAUAUCAGGAGGAACACCGAUGGCGAAGGCAACUCUCUGGUCCGUUUCUGACGCUGAGGUGCGAAAGCCAGGGUAGCGAACAGGAUUAGAUACCCUGGUAGUCC